UGAAGUAAAAGUCGUAACAAGGUUUCCGUAGGUGAACCUGCGGAAGGAUCAUUAAAGAACGCCCCGUUUUUUGAAAUGGGUAAUUCUAAACCGUGUAUACAUACCUUUGUUGCUUUGGCAGGCCGCCCCUCAGGGCGUCGGCUCCGGCUGACUGCGCCUGCCAGAGGACCCAAACUCUUUUGUUUAGUGAUGUCUGAGUACUAUAUAAUAGUUAAAACUUUCAACAACGGAUCUCUUGGUUCUG
This 244-nucleotide unclassified non-coding RNA is filed under the name plant metagenome. RNAcentral's name for it is "partial contains small subunit ribosomal RNA, internal transcribed spacer 1, and 5.8S ribosomal RNA". The stretch from base 1 to 54 matches the Rfam family "Eukaryotic small subunit ribosomal RNA", at positions 1778 to 1831 of the family's 1831-position model. The record is from RNAcentral.